AAUCCAUGGUGUGGGCAUUGGAAUAAAAGUGCUUUGAAGCGAUCCCAUGCUUCAUGAAAAGAUUCAGCAUUUUUUUGAUAAAAAUUAAAAAUUUCACCUCUUAAUUCU
Non-coding RNA from Ricinus communis (castor bean), 108 nucleotides. The record is from Rfam. Lineage: Eukaryota; Viridiplantae; Streptophyta; Magnoliopsida; Malpighiales; Euphorbiaceae.